AGCCAAUCAAAAAAGCCGGAAUAG
Molecule: transfer RNA, 24 nt
Filed under: Sanionia uncinata
Lineage: Eukaryota; Viridiplantae; Streptophyta; Bryopsida; Hypnales; Amblystegiaceae
Description: partial tRNA-Phe
Source: RNAcentral